This 510-nucleotide long non-coding RNA is filed under the name Homo sapiens (human). RNAcentral's name for it is "HSALNT0302023". The record is from RNAcentral. Lineage: Eukaryota; Metazoa; Chordata; Mammalia; Primates; Hominidae.
CGGCAGGGCACGGUAGCUCAUUCCUGUAAUUCCAGCACUUUGGGAGGCCAAGGCAGGUGGAAUCACCUGAGGCCAGGAGUUUGAUAUCAGCCUGGCCAACAUGCGUUCUAGAACACAACUACUAACUAGCUCGGCCUGGUACCACGGAUUUGUGCUACGGCACCAGGAGAGCAAAAUCAACACAGAAAAAAGCAAGAAAACUCAGAGAAAAAAUAAAACAAAUCUACAAUGAACACAUCAGUAUGUAUAUUUCUACAAACUUGUGUGAGAAGUUCUGUAAGAUCAAGUCCUAAAAGCAGAAUUGCUGGCUCAAAGGAUAUGAGUAACAUCAGCUGACUCGAAGUUAAGAAGAUUGGCCUCCACAAUCAGGGUGGGCCUCAUCCAAUCAGUAAAAGGCCCUAAGUGCAAAACUAAGGCUUCCCUGAAGAAGAAAUGUCCACCUAACAGACAGCCUCCCUGUGGAUUUCAGACUUGCCUAGCCAGCCCCAGCAAUUAUGUAAACCAGUUCCU